ACAAACAUAACACUAACGGCCCCAUACUUUUCUGUUUGGAAACACCUAAGGGUUCUAGCAGCAGGCUGCUCAACAAACUCUAUCUCUCCAUCAACGAAUCAUUUAUUGGUUGACUACAAAAAAUUACAUGUUUAACGACGGAUUUUUAUCUAUUUCAACGGUGGAUAGUCUGGUAUUAGAAAUUCUAACGGCCGGGGAAAAAAAGCCACAUAAAAAAAAAAANNNNNNNNNNNNNAGAAUAAAUAAUGGUAAAUAAGCUAACGACAGAUUUUUAUCCGCUGUUAAGCUAACAACGAAUUUUAUCCGCGAUUAAAGCUAACAACGAAUUUUAUCCCCUGUUAGUUCAAAUUUUCGUCAAAUACUAAACAACACAGAAAUCUAGCUGGGUUUCUGCGUUCAUCGUUCGUCCUUCGUCUUCGUCGUUCUUCGUUCAUCGUUUACCAAUCGUUUUUUCUUCUUCUCUGAUUCCUCAAUUCUUCUUCUUAUUUUUGAUUCUUCGAUUCUUCUUCUUGUUUUUCAAUUCCUCUUCUUCUUUGAUUCUUCUUCAAUUCUUUUUCUUUUUUUAUUCUUCUCUUUCUUCUUUUUUUUUGAUUUUUCUUCGACUCUUCUUUUUCGUUUUUUUCGAUUUUUCUUUUUUUCUUCAAUUUGUCUUCUUUUUUUCUUCUUUUUCUUCUUUUUCUUUUUUGAGUUGAUUCUUCUUGAUUCUUCUUCUUCUUCUUGAUUCUUCUUUUCUUCUUCUUCUUCUUCUUCUUCUUCUUUUUCUUCUUCUUCUUCUUUUUUU
Molecule: long non-coding RNA, 781 nt
Filed under: Linum usitatissimum (flax)
Lineage: Eukaryota; Viridiplantae; Streptophyta; Magnoliopsida; Malpighiales; Linaceae
Description: long non-coding RNA (LUSI_LNC004200)
Source: RNAcentral